CCCUUAGAUGUUCUGGGCCGCACGCGCGCUACACUGAAGGCAUCAGCGUGUCCUUCCCUCCCCGAGAGGGGCGGGUAACCCGCUGAACCGCUUUCGUGGUAGGGAUCGGGGCUUGCAAUUAUUCCCCGUGAACCAGGAAUUCCCAGUAAGCGCGAGUCAUAAGCUCGCGUUGAUUACGUCCCUGCCCUUUGUACACACCGCCCGCCGCUACUACCGAUUGAAUGUUUCGGUGAAGAUUCCGGAUAGGACUUUUUUGAUUUAUUUCAAUUUUGUCUUAAAAGCUAUCUAAACCUCAGCAUUUAGAGGAAGGUGAAGUCGUAACA
Molecule: ribosomal RNA, 323 nt
Filed under: uncultured eukaryote
Lineage: Eukaryota
Description: partial 18S ribosomal RNA
Rfam family: Eukaryotic small subunit ribosomal RNA
Source: RNAcentral